GGGCCCAUAGCACAGCUGGUAGAGCGCUUCCAAGGCAUGGAAGAGGUCAGGAGUUCGAGUCUCCUUGGGUCCA
This 73-nucleotide transfer RNA is filed under the name Leadbetterella sp. RNAcentral describes it as "tRNA-Ala". It matches the Rfam family "tRNA". Rfam says of the family: Transfer RNA (tRNA) molecules are approximately 80 nucleotides in length. Lineage: Bacteria; Pseudomonadati; Bacteroidota; Cytophagia; Cytophagales; Leadbetterellaceae. The record is from RNAcentral.